Molecule: ribosomal RNA, 870 nt
Filed under: uncultured bacterium
Lineage: Bacteria
Description: bacterial SSU rRNA
Rfam family: Bacterial small subunit ribosomal RNA
Source: RNAcentral
GAAACUGCCGGGCUCGAGUGGGCGAGAAGUAUGCGGAAUGCGUGGUGUAGCGGUGAAAUGCAUAGAUAUCACGCAGAACCCCGAUUGCGAAGGCAGCAUACCGGCGCCCGACUGACGCUGAGGCACGAAAGUGCGGGGAUCAAACAGGAUUAGAUACCCUGGUAGUCCGCACAGUAAACGAUGAAUGCUAGCUGUCCGGGGGGAUUGACCCCUGGGUGGCACAGCGAAAGCGUUAAGCAUUCCACCUGGGGAGUACGCCGGCAACGGUGAAACUCAAAGGAAUUGACGGGGGCCCGCACAAGCGGAGGAACAUGUGGUUUAAUUCGAUGAUACGCGAGGAACCUUACCCGGGCUCAAACGCCGAAGGGACAUUCCCCGAAAGGGGAUUGGCCAGCAAUGGUCUUCGGCGAGGUGCUGCAUGGUUGUCGUCAGCUCGUGCCGUGAGGUGUCGGCUUAAGUGCCAUAACGAGCGCAACCCCCACCGACAGUUGCUAACUGGUCAAGCAGAGGACUCUGUCGGGACUGCCGGCGCAAGCUGCGAGGAAGGCGGGGAUGACGUCAAAUCAGCACGGCCCUUACGUCCGGGGCGACACACGUGUUACAAUGGCAGGUACAGCGGGAUGCCAUGGGGCGACCCAGAGCGGAACCCGAAAACCUGUCUCAGUUCGGAUUGGAGUCUGCAACCCGACUCCAUGAAGCUGGAUUCGCUAGUAAUCGCGCAUCAGCCACGGCGCGGUGAAUACGUUCCCGGGCCUUGUACACACCGCCCGUCAAGCCAUGGGAGCCGGGGGUGCCUGAAGGCCGUGACCGCGAGGAGCGGCCUAGGGUAAAACUGGUGACUGGGGCUAAGUCGUAACAAGGUAGCCGUAA